This 466-nucleotide ribosomal RNA is filed under the name uncultured bacterium. RNAcentral's name for it is "partial 16S ribosomal RNA". It matches the Rfam family "Bacterial small subunit ribosomal RNA", at positions 28 to 507 of the family's 1533-position model. The record is from RNAcentral.
GAUGAACGCUGGCGGCGUGCUUAACACAUGCAAGUCGAACGAUGAAGCCCAGCUUGCUGGGUGGAUUAGUGGCGAACGGGUGAGUAACACGUGAGUAACCUGCCCUUAACUCUGGGAUAAGCCUGGGAAACUGGGUCUAAUACCGGAUAGGAGCGCCUACCGCAUGGUGGGUGUUGGAAAGAUUUAUCGGUUUUGGAUGGACUCGCGGCCUAUCAGCUUGUUGGUGAGGUAAUGGCUCACCAAGGCGAUGACGGGUAGCCGGCCUGAGAGGGUGACCGGCCACACUGGGACUGAGACACGGCCCAGACUCCUACGGGAGGCAGCAGUGGGGAAUAUUGCACAAUGGGCGGAAGCCUGAUGCAGCGACGCCGCGUGAGGGAUGACGGCCUUCGGGUUGUAAACCGCUUUCAGUAGGGAAGAAGCGAGAGUGACGGUACCUGCAGAAGAAGCACCGGCUAACUACGUG